Bhargavaea cecembensis DSE10 is the source of this 73-nucleotide regulatory RNA element. The record is from Rfam. NCBI's taxonomy places the organism in Bacteria, Bacillati, Bacillota, Bacilli, Caryophanales, Caryophanaceae.
GUGCUACUACAACCGCGCCGACAAGGUCUUAAGCACCAUUUGGUCACCUUGGAGGGCGAGUCUUAGUCUAAGA